GACGAACGCUGGCGGCGUGCUUAACACAUGCAAGUCGAGCGGUAAGGCCCUUUCGGGGGUACACGAGCGGCGAACGGGUGAGUAACACGUGGGUGACCUGCCCUCAGCUCUGGGAUAAGCCUGGGAAACUGGGUCUAAUACUGGAUAUGACUCCACGGUGCAUGUCGUGGGGUGGAAAGCCUUGUGCGGCUGAGGAUGGGCCCGCGGCCUAUCAGCUUGUUGGUGGGGUGANGGCCUACCAAGGCGACGACGGGUAGCCGGCCUGAGAGGGCGACCGGCCACACUGGGACUGAGACACGGCCCAGACUCCUACGGGGAGGCAGCAGUGGGGAAUCUUGCGCAAUGGGCGAAAGCCUGACGCAGCGACGCCGCGUGAGGGAUGACGGCC
RNAcentral lists this ribosomal RNA (388 nucleotides) under uncultured bacterium. RNAcentral describes it as "bacterial SSU rRNA". It matches the Rfam family "Bacterial small subunit ribosomal RNA", at positions 28 to 416 of the family's 1533-position model. The record is from RNAcentral.